RNAcentral lists this transfer RNA (77 nucleotides) under Sandaracinus sp. RNAcentral's name for it is "tRNA-Arg". It matches the Rfam family "tRNA". Rfam says of the family: Transfer RNA (tRNA) molecules are approximately 80 nucleotides in length. Their secondary structure includes four short double-helical elements and three loops (D, anti-codon, and T loops). Lineage: Bacteria; Pseudomonadati; Myxococcota; Polyangiales; Sandaracinaceae. RNAcentral also lists the same sequence under 1 other name. The record is from RNAcentral.
GCUCCCGUAGCUCAGCUGGAUAGAGCAGCGGCUUCCUAAGCUGAAGGUCGGAGGUUCGAAUCCUCCCGGGAGCGCCA